AGUGAACGCUGGCGGCAUGCCUUACACAUGCAAGUCGAACGGCAGCACGGGAGCAAUCCUGGUGGCGAGUGGCGAACGGGUGAGUAAUAUAUCGGAACGUGCCCAGUCGUGGGGGAUAACGUAGAGAAAUUUACGCUAAUACCGCAUACGAUCCAAGGAUGAAAGCGGGGGACCUUCGGGCCUCGUGCGACUGGAGCGGCUGAUAUCAGAUUAGGUUGUUGGUGAGGUAAAAGCUCACCAAGCCGACGAUCUGUAGCUGGUUUGAGAGAACGACCAGCCACACUGGGACUGAGACACGGUCCAGACUCCUACGGGAGGCAGCAGUAGGGAAUAUUGGACAAUGGGCGCAAGCCUGAUCCAGCCAUGCCGCGUGAGUGAAGAAGGCCUUCGGGUUGUAAAGCUCUUUUGUCCGGAAAGAAAAGCUUCGGGUCAAUACCCCGGAGUCCUGACGGUACCGGAAGAAUAAGCACCGGCUAACUUCGUG
This 484-nucleotide ribosomal RNA is filed under the name uncultured bacterium. RNAcentral describes it as "bacterial SSU rRNA". It matches the Rfam family "Bacterial small subunit ribosomal RNA", at positions 29 to 507 of the family's 1533-position model. The record is from RNAcentral.